This 193-nucleotide ribosomal RNA is filed under the name Serratia marcescens. RNAcentral's name for it is "partial 16S ribosomal RNA". It matches the Rfam family "Bacterial small subunit ribosomal RNA", at positions 339 to 524 of the family's 1533-position model. The record is from RNAcentral. Lineage: Bacteria; Pseudomonadati; Pseudomonadota; Gammaproteobacteria; Enterobacterales; Yersiniaceae.
CUACGGGAGGCAGCAGUGGGGAAUAUUGCACAAUGGGCGCAAGCCUGAUGCAGCCAUGCCGCGUGUGUGAAGAAGGCCUUCGGGUUGUAAAGCACUUUCAGCGAGGAGGAAGGUGGUGAACUUAAUACGUUCAUCAAUUGACGUUACUCGCAGAAGAAGCACCGGCUAACUCCGUGCCAGCAGCCGCGGUAAU